CUAAGAAAAGGCUUAGGAGAGCUCUGUUUAGGAAGCUCUAGAGGAGGGGAGUCUGAAUUAGGUAAAAGCCCCCCAUGGAGGAAGGACUGCAGACUUCCCCAUGUGGUGGGGAAGAAGCCUGGGGCCUUAUAGCAGAAGAAGCUGGGGCUAAAUCUGGAGACUUUUAUCUGCUCUAUGAGACACUUAGAAACAAAACAUGAACAACACAAGGGCAAACAAGAAUUUUUCAAGCAGAUGUGAGCACAGCUAAUGAACCCAGGGUGCAAGACUUGUCAAUAAAAGAUCAAGAGAAUCUCCUGGACAUCUCAACUGAUGGCAGAGUCAAGACUGAGUUCCAACAAAAGCAGUUGGCCAAGUUUUGGAUCUAAAUGAAAUCAGAGUUCCCCAAAUUGUCUGACAGGGCUGUCAAGGUUUGGAUGCCGUUUGAUAUAAUUUGUUUGUGAAAGUGGAUUUUCAUCACUCAUAGGAAUGAAAUAAAAAUACACGUCAUCACCUUUGUGUAGAAAACAACUUAUUACAAACUACCAUGUCACUCCAAACAUUAUGCACCUGUGCUCAAAAAACAACCUCAUCCUUCAGAUUACUGGUGAGUGGUACUAGGAAGUCAUUAAAGUUGGUCAAAAGUAAGCAUACAUUAAAACUAAACCCAUAAAUUAUGUAUUAUUAUUAUAGUCCUAUAUAUUGUGUUUGUGUAUUCUUUGUACAUUUUGUACAAUACUUGGGCAUUAAAAGGGUUAAAAUAUAAAACUUGUAUUCUGGAAGGGGGUAUGCAAUAAGAGAAGUUUGAGAUGGUCUAAAUUAGAGGUUCCUGACAAAUGUUUGUCUAACCUGAUCUUAAAAACCUCCAAUGACUGAGAUCCCACAACCGUCCUAGGCAAUUUAAGGGAUGUGUAACUCCCUUUGAUUUCUCUUAUCAUCGACUUUGUAUACAGCACCAUGUUGACCUAAGUUUCACUACUCCAGUUAUGUGAAUAAUGUAACUGGAGUUGACAUAGCUUAGGUCAACUUAUCACAGUGUCUUCACUGUGCUGUCUCCCAUCGACUUACCUUGCUCUUCUUGGGGAGCUGGAGUACCAGAGUCAACCUGAGAGCACUCUACUGUCGAUUUUAGCAGGUCUUCACUAGAUCCGCUAAAUUGACACCUGCUGCAUCAAUGCUGCUGCAAUUGAUCUCUCCUGACAAUCCCAUCAUGUUGCAGUCAAAUGUGAUGGUGGAGUCAAUGCAGUUUAGGCAUGAAUUUAGGCAUCGAAGCAAUUAUGUAUAUGCUCAGACAUAUAAGUAUGUAUGUAGGCUCACAUAUUUGACUUUUGGGCCUUUAAUUACCAUGUAUAUACAUGCAUUUCAUUUGUUCAGAGUAUGAAUUGUAUUCCUGCCUGUUUUGUACAUAACACUUUAUUUUUCAUUUGUGCCUUAUCUGCUGUAUGUUAAUAUUCAAAUGUGCUUAUCUGUUGAUGCACACUACCCUUCAUUCAUUCAUGGUCCUCAAUUAUUGUAACAGGUGAGCAAUCAGCCUAAAAAAGAUCUGUCAUAUUGCUCUCUUGUAACUGUGAACUAAAAACGGUUCAGGAACAUUGCUAAUCUGCCUUGGGUUUCUUCUGUAAAUGAAAAGAGCUGUUAAUGGCACCUUUUUAAAUUAAAAUAACGCAUUCAGUUAACCACCAUCUUCAUCUGUGCAAGUUUGUACUUGGAGAAGAUGGGCAUGACAACAGACUUUUAUG
This is a long non-coding RNA of Mauremys mutica (yellowpond turtle), 1718 nucleotides long. RefSeq lists it as uncharacterized. The record is from RefSeq and is a predicted model, not a curated record. Lineage: Eukaryota; Metazoa; Chordata; Testudines; Geoemydidae. The transcript is spliced from 3 exons.